This 380-nucleotide unclassified non-coding RNA is filed under the name uncultured bacterium. Its description in RNAcentral is "contains 16S-23S intergenic spacer region". The record is from RNAcentral.
UCCGGUUUGGCACCGGCAGUCUCUCCAGAGUCCCCGGCAUUAUCCGCUGGCAACUGGAGACGGGGGUUGCGCUCGUUGCGGGACUUAACCCAACAUCUCACGACACGAGCUGACGACAGCCAUGCAGCACCUGUGACCGGAUCCCGAAGGGGGCCCCCUGUUUCCAAGGGGUUUCCCGUACAUGUCAAGCCCAGGUAAGGUUCUUCGCGUUGCGUCGAAUUAAACCACAUGCUCCACCGCUUGUGCGGGCCCCCGUCAAUUCCUUUGAGUUUCAGCCUUGCGGCCGUACUCCCCAGGCGGGGCACUUAGCGCGUUAGCUGCGGCACCGGGGGGGUCGAUACCCCCGACACCUAGUGCCCAUCGUUUACGGCGUGGACUAC